CUCUCUGCCGAAAAAGAAACCGAGUCAUUUGUCAAGAUUAAUUCAUGUUCUUAUCGGUUUAAUAUCUGAUAUGUGGCCCAUUUGGGUCACAUCAUAUUUAACUAAUUUUUUAAGGGGGGAAGGCCCACUACAGUAGCUUGCUACUGGGGCCUUUUAAGUGUUUCCCAUGCGAUGCACUAAUGCAGGCUUGGCACACCCCAC
This is a small nuclear RNA of Quercus lobata, 201 nucleotides long. RefSeq annotates it as U2 spliceosomal RNA. NCBI's taxonomy places the organism in Eukaryota, Viridiplantae, Streptophyta, Magnoliopsida, Fagales, Fagaceae. The transcript has a single exon. The record is from RefSeq and is a predicted model, not a curated record.